Molecule: ribosomal RNA, 460 nt
Filed under: uncultured bacterium
Lineage: Bacteria
Description: partial 16S ribosomal RNA
Rfam family: Bacterial small subunit ribosomal RNA
Source: RNAcentral
CCUACGGGGGGCAGCAGUGAGGAAUAUUGGUCAAUGGACGAGAGUCUGAACCAGCCAAGUAGCGUGAAGGAUGACUGCCCUAUGGGUUGUAAACUUCUUUUAUAUGGGAAUAAAAUGUUCCACGUGUGGGAUUUUGUAUGUACCAUAUGAAUAAGGAUCGGCUAACUCCGUGCCAGCAGCCGCGGUAAUACGGAGGAUCCGAGCGUUAUCCGGAUUUAUUGGGUUUAAAGGGAGCGUAGGUGGAUUGUUAAGUCAGUUGUGAAAGUUUGCGGCUCAACCGUAAAAUUGAAGUUGAAACUGGCAGAAUGGAGUACAGUAGAGGUGGGGGGAAUUCGAGGUGUAGCGGUGAAAUGCUUAGAUAUCACGAAGAAGUCCGAUUGCGAAGGCAGUUCACUGGACUGCAACUGACACGGAGGCUCGAAAGUGUGGGUAUCAAACAGGAGUAGAGACCCUGGUAGUC